RNAcentral lists this long non-coding RNA (233 nucleotides) under Olea europaea (common olive). RNAcentral describes it as "long non-coding RNA (OEUR_LNC007703)". The record is from RNAcentral. Lineage: Eukaryota; Viridiplantae; Streptophyta; Magnoliopsida; Lamiales; Oleaceae.
UUAUUGUCAUGUUUACCUGAACUUGGUAUUGUAAGAUUAAUAACUAUUUUGAAGUUUUAUACAGAUUAUAUGUUGAAUUAGUGUCAAGAAUUAGCUAUUUCCACUUAAUUUCAUUGUACUUUUAGAUCUUUGUGUUACAAGGAACCAGUUAUAUAGCUUAAUUUGAUGUGGGUAUUCAGAGACUCAUUUUGAGUAGAAGGGAUCUAAUUGCUUUGAGUUUUCUAGUAGAUCUA